This is a long non-coding RNA of Xiphophorus couchianus (Monterrey platyfish), 114 nucleotides long. RefSeq lists it as uncharacterized. Lineage: Eukaryota; Metazoa; Chordata; Actinopteri; Cyprinodontiformes; Poeciliidae. The record is from RefSeq and is a predicted model, not a curated record. The transcript is spliced from 3 exons.
UUUUUUUACAAAUCUAUGGCAUCUUUUUAAUAACUGAAGGUAACAUGGUUACUUUAUUGUGUUAUAAAAUUACACUAUGUGCUUGGAAAAUAUAUAACACUGCCCCUCUAAGGG